This 253-nucleotide ribosomal RNA is filed under the name uncultured bacterium. RNAcentral describes it as "partial 16S ribosomal RNA". It matches the Rfam family "Bacterial small subunit ribosomal RNA", at positions 524 to 776 of the family's 1533-position model. The record is from RNAcentral.
UACAGAGGUCCCAAGCGUUGUUCGGAUUCACUGGGCGUAAAGGGUGCGUAGGCGGUCGCGCAAGUCGGAUGUGAAAUCUCAGGGCUCAACCCUGAAACUGCAUUCGAUACUGCGUGGCUAGAGUGCUGGAGAGGAGACUGGAAUUUACGGUGUAGCAGUGAAAUGCGUAGAUAUCGUAAGGAAGACCAGUGGCGAAGGCGAGUCUCUGGACAGCAACUGACGCUGAGGCACGAAGGCCAGGGGAGCAAACGGG